UGCACCGAAGCUGCGGCAGCGACGCUGAUGCGUUGUUGGGUAGGGGAGCGUUCUGUAAGCCUGUGAAGGUGGCCUGUGAGGGUUGCUGGAGGUAUCAGAAGUGCGAAUGCUGACAUAAGUAACGAUAAAGCGGGUGAAAAGCCCGCUCGCCGGAAGACCAAGGGUUCCUGUCCAACGUUAAUCGGGGCAGGGUGAGUCGACCCCUAAGGCGAGGCCGAAAGGCGUAGUCGAUGGGAAACGGGUUAAUAUUCCCGUACUUGGUGUUACUGCGAAGGGGGGACGGAGAAGGCUAUGUUGGCCGGGCGACGGUUGUCCCGGUUUAAGCGUGUAGGUGUGUGUUCCAGGUAAAUCCGGUUCACUUUAACACUGAGGCGUGAUGACGAGGCACUACGGUGCUGAAGCAACAAAUGCCCUGCUUCCAGGAAAAGCCUCUAAGCAUCAGGUAACAUCAAAUCGUACCCCAAACCGACACAGGUGGUCAGGUAGAGAAUACCAAGGCGCUUGAGAGAACUCGGGUGAAGGAACUAGGCAAAAUGGUGCCGUAACUUCGGGAGAAGGCACGCUGACACGUAGGUGAAGUGAUUUACUCACGGAGCUGAAGUCAGUCGAAGAUACCAGCUGGCUGCAACUGUUUAUUAAAAACACAGCACUGUGCAAACACGAAAGUGGACGUAUACGGUGUGACGCCUGCCCGGUGCCGGAAGGUUAAUUGAUGGGGUCAGCGCAAGCGAAGCUCCUGAUCGAAGCCCCGGUAAACGGCGGCCGUAACUAUAACGGUCCUAAGGUAGCGAAAUUCCUUGUCGGGUAAGUUCCGACCUGCACGAAUGGCGUAAUGAUGGCCAGGCUGUCUCCACCCGAGACUCAGUGAAAUUGAACUCGCUGUGAAGAUGCAGUGUACCCGCGGCAAGACGGAAAGACCCCGUGAACCUUUACUAUAGCUUGACACUGAACAUUGAGCCUUGAUGUGUAGGAUAGGUGGGAGGCUUUGAAGUGUGGACGCCAGUCUGCAUGGAGCCGACCUUGAAAUACCACCCUUUAAUGUUUGAUGUUCUAACGUGGACCCGUAAUCCGGGUUGCGGACAGUGUCUGGUGGGUAGUUUGACUGGGGCGGUCUCCUCCUAAAGAGUAACGGAGGAGCACGAAGGUUGGCUAAUCCUGGUCGGACAUCAGGAGGUUAGUGCAAUGGCAUAAGCCAGCUUGACUGCGAGCGUGACGGCGCGAGCAGGUGCGAAAGCAGGUCAUAGUGAUCCGGUGGUUCUGAAUGGAAGGGCCAUCGCUCAACGGAUAAAAGGUACUCCGGGGAUAACAGGCUGAUACCGCCCAAGAGUUCAUAUCGACGGCGGUGUUUGGCACCUCGAUGUCGGCUCAUCACAUCCUGGGGCUGAAGUAGGUCCCAAGGGUAUGGCUGUUCGCCAUUUAAAGUGGUACGCGAGCUGGGUUUAGAACGUCGUGAGACAGUUCGGUCCCUAUCUGCCGUGGGCGCUGGAGAACUGAGGGGGGCUGCUCCUAGUACGAGAGGACCGGAGUGGACGCAUCACUGGUGUUCGGGUUGUCAUGCCAAUGGCACUGCCCGGUAGCUAAAUGCGGAAGAGAUAAGUGCUGAAAGCAUCUAAGCACGAAACUUGCCCCGAGAUGAGUUCUCCCUGAGACUUAGAGUCUCCUGAAGGAACGUUGAAGACGACGACGUUGAUAGGCCGGG
Molecule: ribosomal RNA, 1699 nt
Filed under: Salmonella enterica subsp. enterica serovar 8,(20):-:z6
Lineage: Bacteria; Pseudomonadati; Pseudomonadota; Gammaproteobacteria; Enterobacterales; Enterobacteriaceae
Description: partial 23S ribosomal RNA
Rfam family: Bacterial large subunit ribosomal RNA
Source: RNAcentral